AUGAACGCUGGCGGCGUGCCUAAUCCAUGCCAGUCGAGCGAACGGACGAGAAGCUUGCUUCUCUGAUGUUAGCGGCGGACGGGUGAGUAACCCGUGGAUAACCUACCUACAAGAAUGGGAUAACUUCGGGAAACCGUACCUAAUACCGGAUAAUAUUUUGAACCGCAUGGUUCAAAAGUGAAAGACGGUCUUGCUGUCACUUAUAGAUGGAUCCGCGCUGCAUUAGCUAGCUGGUAAGGUAACGGCUUCACAAGGCAACGAUGCAUAGCCGACCUGAGAGGGUGAUCGGCCACACGGGAACUGAGACACGGUCCAGACUCCUACGGGAGGCAGCAGUAGGGAAUCUUCCGCAAUGGGCGAAAGCCUGAUGGAGCAACGCCGCGUGAGUGAUGAAGGUCUUCUGAUCGUAAAGCUCUGUUAGUAGGGAAGAACAUAUGUGUAAGUAACUGUGCACAUCUUGACGGUACCUAAUCAGAAAGCCACGGCUAACUUCGUG
Molecule: ribosomal RNA, 496 nt
Filed under: uncultured bacterium
Lineage: Bacteria
Description: partial 16S ribosomal RNA
Rfam family: Bacterial small subunit ribosomal RNA
Source: RNAcentral